This 72-nucleotide transfer RNA is filed under the name Ganoderma meredithae. RNAcentral's name for it is "tRNA-Arg". It matches the Rfam family "tRNA". From Rfam's summary of the family: Transfer RNA (tRNA) molecules are approximately 80 nucleotides in length. Their secondary structure includes four short double-helical elements and three loops (D, anti-codon, and T loops). Further hydrogen bonds mediate the characteristic L-shaped molecular structure. tRNAs have two regions of fundamental functional importance: the anti-codon, which is responsible for specific mRNA codon recognition, and the 3' end, to which the tRNAs corresponding amino acid is attached (by aminoacyl-tRNA synthetases). tRNAs cope with the degeneracy of the genetic code in two manners: having more than one tRNA (with a specific anti-codon) for a particular amino acid; and 'wobble' base-pairing, i.e. permitting non-standard base-pairing at the 3rd anti-codon position. The record is from RNAcentral. Lineage: Eukaryota; Fungi; Basidiomycota; Agaricomycetes; Polyporales; Polyporaceae.
ACUCUCUUAGUUCAAUUGGUAGAACAGAAGUCUUCGAAACUUCGGGUGCUGGUUCAAGCCCAGUAGGGGGCC